Molecule: transfer RNA, 110 nt
Organism: Pseudogymnoascus pannorum
Lineage: Eukaryota; Fungi; Ascomycota; Leotiomycetes; Thelebolales; Thelebolaceae
Rfam family: tRNA
About the family: Transfer RNA (tRNA) molecules are approximately 80 nucleotides in length. Their secondary structure includes four short double-helical elements and three loops (D, anti-codon, and T loops). Further hydrogen bonds mediate the characteristic L-shaped molecular structure. tRNAs have two regions of fundamental functional importance: the anti-codon, which is responsible for specific mRNA codon recognition, and the 3' end, to which the tRNAs corresponding amino acid is attached (by aminoacyl-tRNA synthetases). tRNAs cope with the degeneracy of the genetic code in two manners: having more than one tRNA (with a specific anti-codon) for a particular amino acid; and 'wobble' base-pairing, i.e. permitting non-standard base-pairing at the 3rd anti-codon position.
Source: Rfam
GUGGUGCCAGCGUAGUGGUUAACGCAUCUGGCUACUUCGCAAGAAGGAGCAUUCACAUAGUUGAAUCUCACAGUCUCAGAAGAUCAGCGGUUCGAAUCCGUUGCACCGCA